Molecule: ribosomal RNA, 196 nt
Filed under: uncultured bacterium
Lineage: Bacteria
Description: partial 16S ribosomal RNA
Rfam family: Bacterial small subunit ribosomal RNA
Source: RNAcentral
ACGCUCGACACCUACGGAGCAGCAGUGGGGAAUAUUGCACAAUGGGGGAAACCCUGAUGCAGCGACGCCGCGUGAAGGAAGAAGUAUUUCGGUAUGUAAACUUCUAUCAGCAGGGAAGAAGAUGACGGUACCUGAGUAAGAAGCACCGGCUAAAUACGUGCCAGCAGCCGCGGUAAUCUGAGCGGGCUGGCAAGGC